Crotalus tigris (Tiger rattlesnake) is the source of this 2630-nucleotide long non-coding RNA. RefSeq lists it as uncharacterized. The record is from RefSeq and is a predicted model, not a curated record. NCBI's taxonomy places the organism in Eukaryota, Metazoa, Chordata, Lepidosauria, Squamata, Viperidae. The transcript is spliced from 2 exons.
CACUGCUAUCAUGUCCCCCCUCAUCCUUCUCUUUGUUAAACUAGACAUACCCAAUUCCAGCAACCGUUUCUGCAACUGGUAGGAUCCCAGAGUAGAAUUUACUGAAAGCACAGAUGCAAGCUGUUAUGAAAUUGCACAGCAGGUGUCCAGAUGAAGUCAGAGACACUGACAUGAACUUGUAGUUUUAUAUAAAUAAAUAUUUUUAACGUUUAUAUCUACAACAGACAAGUUAGUCAGGAACGCAGAAACAUGAGGUAAAUCUAAAUAGCAUACAGAGCAACAGAAGAAAAAGGCGGGAAAAAAGGGAAACUCCCCCUUUAUACCCACAUCAACCAAUCACAGCAUAGAUUAUGUCAUGCAUGAGCAGACAAGAUGGUCAGGAAUGCAGGAACAUGAGGUAAAUCUAAACAGCAUACAAAGCACACAGAAGAAAAAAGUGGAGAAAAAGGGAAACUCCUCCUUUACCCCCACAAUAACCAAUCAUAGCAUAGAUUGCCUCAUGCAGGAGCCAGCACUCUCCAACCAAUCAACUUCAACCGUGUGUUCUGGCCCAUUGUCCAUUUUACUGUUCCAGCUACUAAAUUAAAUAUCCUAACACAAGUGCUUGAAGUAGGAAAAGGGAGGAAGCAGCAACAGAAGGCAAUGUGCAUGCACAAAAAUUUUUGACGAUAAUCUGAAAACAAAGGAAAGCCCCCCCCCCCUUCAAGAAUAGUGGAGAAAGUGUCAGGAAAUCUGGAAUUGGAGUAAAUUAACUUGGUUUUAGAAUACAAAGUGAUAAAUAAACGUCAUAGCUCUUAUUUUAGCUCAGUCCUUGAAAAAGAGGUUUCCCUGAGCCACGGUGAAAAUAGAAGAUGCAAGAUUGCACACAGCUUUCCUCUAAAACCGAAUCAAGGACAGUUUAACUGUGCCUUAAACCUCAAAUCUCAGUCUGUUGGGUCCUAUUAUGGGGUCAUUUUAGAUUCAUCACUGAGGUUGUUGGGGACAAAAUUUAGAAGUAAACAUUGCCUUAAGCUUCUAAAAGAAGGGAAAAUAAAUUAAGUAAUAUUUUUUUUAAAAAAAAUUCCUGUAUUCCUGUCUUUUGGUUAUGGAGGCCCAGAUGUUUGUUCCUACCUAAGGAUUUAACCAGGUCAACCCCUACUUCAUUGUGAAAGUACUGUUUACAAGGGUUAUCUCCUGACCAUUUAGACUGGGAUGCAGUCACUUAUCCAAAAUCAAACAGAGUCCGUCACUUUUGAUUUAUUGCCCAAGUGUCAUUAAUUCUGUGUGACAGUUUUCUUUCCAGGAUCAAAUGUACUAAUGUUCACAAAGCGUUGAGUUUACAAAGCAUUGAGUCCAGCCUAGCCAGAGGAAAUGCACUGUGAAGAAAAGAAGCUACAAGGAGAAAGGACUGGGUGCAGAUUCUGCCAUGCCUCCCUCCUUGCCCUGAAAACAGGCCUUGGGCCAGUAGCCCAUUAAGGUACAGGAAGUGGGACUGAAGGUUUGCAUGGGAUGGUUUUGAAGAAAGUAUGCGGCAGCUGUUACAUAAAUAUCAGCUUAGCCCAGGAAGGCAAGAGGGGGUGAGGAAGAAACUCAAGAUUGGCCUGCCUUGACUCUUUUUGGUAUAAGAGGGAGUUAGGUUUUCAAGAUUCAUACCUAUAGCAAUAGAGAUGAGUUCUAACAGGGUUUUUUUUGUCUAUUUUCUGAAUUUGAAGAGACAGGAGUCCAAAUAAUCACUCGGUCACUCGUGCCCUGGUCAUCUCCCGAUUGGACUAUUCUAAUGCACCUACAUGGGGUUGUAAGGUUUUUCAGCUCAGAAUCCUAAUAAAUCCCACUGAGACUCUGAACAUGAGGCAUUCUGAAAUAAACACAGCUUUAUUCCUUUAAUCAAAGUUAUAGGUCAGUCCAAUGCAGAGGAUGGGAGGCUUAUUACUGCCUCAAAUGGCAUCAAAAGCAACAAAGAGAGACCUAUUGGCUGCAAGGGAAGCGUUGUGGAAACCUGCUUGGCAGAAAAAGAAGCCUGGAAUAAGACUAAAAAGGGAAAUUUAAAACUGUAUAUACUGGAUUUCAGGCAUUUUAGAACUAUGGAUUGAUUUAAAGCUUAAGCUCUUGAGUUAGAAGUAACAAAAAUGGUUGAUUAUUAGAAUAUAUACAUUAAAUAAAGUAAGAAUGUAUUUUUGGAAUAAUAGGUUUAUUUCUAUGAAAAUUAUUAUAUAAUGGAAUGAAGAAAAUUGAAGAGGUAUUCUAGAAUGGGACUGAACUAAUAAUUAAUUGAAUGUUAUUUCAACAAGAUGAUGGGAUAGAUCAAUAAAUGGGAGAUAUUAGUGGAAGAAGGAAUAAACAAGAUUUAUGAUAAAAUUAAAGAAUUAGAAUAUAUUUGGAAGGGAUACUUGAACUGAUAAUGUGGUUAUUUAAAGUUAAAUUUGAUUAUGGUAAUUGUAUAAAGCUUUAAAACAGGUCUGGGAUUAAUAGAAAUUUAAGUUAGAAAUAGACUAUAAGCUAUGUGAGGGAAAUAGAGAGGGAGUAUUUGAUGUACCGAUUGUGUUAUCUAUAUAUGUUUUAUUUUUGGAUUUUUGAUUACCCAGCACCACAAUGUGUCUCGAGCACUUUGUUUUAAAAAUUAAAAAAACAAUAAAAUUUGUUUUAAAAAAAAA